UACGUAGGGGGCGAGCGUUGUCCGGAGUUACUGGGCGUAAAGGGCAUGCAGGCGGUCCGACACGUUUUGUGUGACAGCGGGUGGCUUAACUACCCGAGGAUACGAAAGACGGUCGGACUUGAGGACUCGAGAGGGACACGGAAUUCCGGGUGGAGUGGUGAAAUGCGUAGAGAUCCGGAGGAACACCGAAGGCGAAGGCAGUGUCCUGGCGAGUGACUGACGCUGAGGUGCGAAAGCCAGGGGAGCGAACGGG
This 253-nucleotide ribosomal RNA is filed under the name uncultured bacterium. RNAcentral's name for it is "partial 16S ribosomal RNA". It matches the Rfam family "Bacterial small subunit ribosomal RNA", at positions 524 to 776 of the family's 1533-position model. The record is from RNAcentral.